GAAAUGCGAUAAGUAAUGUGAAUUGCAGAAUCUAGUGAAUCAUCGAAUCUUUGAACGCACAUUGCGCCCCUAGGUAUUCCUGGGGGCAUGCCUGUCCGAGCGUCAUUAAACACCACUCAAGCUCUGCUUGGUCCUGGGGUGCGCCCGUCACCGGGCGCCCCCUAAAUCCAGUGGCGGCGGCUCCCGACCCUCCAGCGCAGUAUCACACCUCGCUACGAGACCGGGGACCGCGGGCCAGGAACCACUCCAGGUUGACCUCGGAUCAGGUAGGAAUACCCGCUGAACUUAA
This 289-nucleotide unclassified non-coding RNA is filed under the name uncultured Ascomycota. RNAcentral's name for it is "sequence contains ITS1". The stretch from base 1 to 105 matches the Rfam family "5.8S ribosomal RNA", at positions 50 to 154 of the family's 154-position model. The record is from RNAcentral. Lineage: Eukaryota; Fungi; Ascomycota.